Molecule: ribosomal RNA, 410 nt
Filed under: uncultured bacterium
Lineage: Bacteria
Description: partial 16S ribosomal RNA
Rfam family: Bacterial small subunit ribosomal RNA
Source: RNAcentral
UGGGGAAUAUUGGACAAUGGGGGCAACCCUGAUCCAGCAAUGCCGCGUGUGUGAAGAAGGUCUUCGGAUUGUAAAGCACUUUCGACGGGGACGAUGAUGACGGUACCCGUAGAAGAAGCCCCGGCUAACUUCGUGCCAGCAGCCGCGGUAAUACGAAGGGGGCUAGCGUUGCUCGGAAUGACUGAGCGUAAAGGGCGUGUAGGCGGUUUACACAGUCAGAUGUGAAAUCCCCGGGCUUAACCUGGGAGCUGCAUUUGAUACGUGUAGACUAGAGUGUGAGAGAGGGUUGUGGAAUUCCCAGUGUAGAGGUGAAAUUCGUAGAUAUUGGGAAGAACACCGGUGGCGAAGGCGGCAACCUGGCUCAUGACUGACGCUGAGGCGCGAAAGCGUGGGGAGCAACAGGAUUAGAU